CAGUAGCCACGGGAAUACGAAGGGGGCUAGCGUUGUUCGGAUUUACUGGGCGUAAAGCGCACGUAGGCGGACUUUUAAGUCAGGGGUGAAAUCCCCGGGCUCAACCCCGGAACUGCCUUUGAUACUGGAAGUCUUGAGUAUGGUAGAGGUGAGUGGAAUUCCGAGUGUAGAGGUGAAAUUCGUAGAUAUUCGGAGGAACACCAGUGGCGAAGGCGGCUCACUGGACCAUUACUGACGCUGAGGUGCGAAAGCGUGGGGAGCAAACAGGAUUAGAUACCCCAGUAGUCCCUGUCUCUUAUAA
RNAcentral lists this ribosomal RNA (301 nucleotides) under uncultured bacterium. RNAcentral describes it as "partial 16S ribosomal RNA". It matches the Rfam family "Bacterial small subunit ribosomal RNA", at positions 509 to 809 of the family's 1533-position model. The record is from RNAcentral.